GAGAGGCCCAAACGUUAUUCGGAUUUACUGGGCUUAAAGAGUUCGUAGGCGGCGCAGAAAGUAGGGUGUGAAAGCCCUCGGCUCAACCGAGGAAUUGCGCCCUAAACUACUGUGCUUGAGGAAGCUAGAGGUGAGCAGAACAGAUGGUGGAGCGGUGAAAUGCGUUGAUAUCAUCUGGAAUACCGGAGGCGAAGGCGGCUCACUGGGGCUUUUCUGACGCUGAGGAACGAAAGCCAGGGUAGCGAACGGGAUUAGAUACCCCGGUAGUCCUGGCCGUAAACGAUGAGCACUGGGCCGGAGGACUGCACAGUUUUCCGGCCGUAGCGAAAGUGUUAAGUGCUCCGCCUGGGGAGUAUGGUCGCAAGGCUG
RNAcentral lists this ribosomal RNA (369 nucleotides) under uncultured bacterium. RNAcentral's name for it is "bacterial SSU rRNA". It matches the Rfam family "Bacterial small subunit ribosomal RNA", at positions 527 to 896 of the family's 1533-position model. The record is from RNAcentral.